UACCUACAUAUAUAUUUUAGACUUUAUUCCUUACGAAUUUACCACUCAAGUCAUCAUCAUUAUCAACUACAGAAUACAGAAUGAUAUCUUUACAAGCCCCGAGAUGAAGCCGAUGAAACUCAUAAAUACAGAGUAAUACAUAUCUUCCUUUACAUACGAAUAAAAGAGACAACUACAGAUUGUACUUGCGAAUGAUGAUUCGACAUUAUUAGCAAUUGAGCCAAAUAAUUAUUUAUAACACUAAUACAAUCAAAAUAAAGUUCAAUUUAGUGUGGUCGGGUCGAGAGAUCGAGUUUAUUAUAUGGAUCACCAAACGGGUCUCACAAGAUCGGGUGUUUUAGUCGUCCGCGACCCGAUUAUUCACGAGAACUACAGAUUUGAGAGUUAUUCUAUUAAAAAUAAAGUUCAAUUUAGCGUGGUCGGGUCGAGUGAUCGAGUUUUUAUAUGAAUCACAAGAUCGGGUGUUUUAGACGUCCGCGACCCGAUUAUUCACGAGAACUACAGAUUUGAGAGUUAUUGUUUUAAAAAUAAAGUUCGAUUUAGCGUGGUCGGGUCGAGUGAUCGAGUUUUUAAUGAAUCACAAGAUCGGGUGUUUUAGACGUCCGCGACCCGAUUAUUCACGAGAUCUACAGAUUUGAGAGUUAUUGUAAUCAAAAUAAAGUUCAAUUUAGUAUGGUAAACAAAAACCUUUCGAUCUUUUAAUCGAGUCUGCGCCCGGGCGGGUCUCCAAACGGGUCACAUAAGAUCGGGUGUUUUUAACGUCCGCGACCCAAUUACUCACGCACAAGUAGUGAUCGGGUGUCGGAGAUUUGAUCAUUCGCGAUCGACACAGGUCUAGAGAAAACUAAAUAACCCAAUGCACUUCAAAUAAUGCAGUGAACUGAACGACAUCUUAUCUUUGUUUUUGAAAUUUUGACAGCUUUACUUAACAAACAAAAUAUGGCUCACUGAUUGGCUGUUCAUUUCGACCAAUGACAGAAGAGUUGCGACACUAGCGUUCAGAGCCAAAGUGGAAGCGGGUGGAACUAAAAUCUGUCUCAGGCCUGCCUGCACCUGUGAACUCGUUACUCGAUAUUGACACAAACAAAAAACACAUCGACAUUUUGUUAAGUGUUUAUCACAGACUAGCCGCCCACUUACAAAAUAAAACCAUAACGUGUACAUACUCUUUGGUAACAGGGAUCGAUUGCAGCGACAAAACGGCACAUGCAAGAACUAAAGUGUCAUACCCCCUGGGGCCUAAUUGUCUAACGGAGUUCAUUGAUCGUAAAGUUCAUACGAUCGGCUACGAUCAACGAUCAAUCGUAACUUUACAUUGGUAUUGUCUAAUUUAGUUCAUUAUAUGAAGACCGGAUGGUGAACGAUGAACUGAAAUCAUUCAUGAAGAUUGCGUAUUGUUUAUGCAAAACGAUAGUGAAACUAUCGUUAAUAAUAUUAUCAAAUUUAAGUCAAACUCCAUAAUAAUGCAUAUAUUUUAACAAAGUUUUAUGUCUUUUAUUUAAAACAUUAAAGAAGCAUUAAAUUUCACGAAAAAUAUCUACUAUUGAAGAAAAUAGCGUGAGAAAAUGGUACAUGCAACUCGAGUAACAAAACGCAAUUAACGAAUUUAACCAAGGGCUAUUUGGACUAUUUGGUAAUCUCCCUGUUGUCUGUGUAGGCUAGUGUCAAAAUAACGGGGUAUCCUAUUAGUCUGUGGUGAAACAUAGCAUAUUAGGGAUGUCGGAAAUGCAAUAAAGUAUCGAUAUAUAUUGUAUCGAUAAUUUUUGAAUAUAUCACUAUCGAUAUUGAUAUUUUCAUUUAAAAAUAUCGAUAUAUCGAUAUAUCGGUGUGAUAGGAAAAAAAAAUAUUUGGCCUAAUCUACCUCAAUCAUCUUACAUUACUAGAUAAAUACUUAUCAAUAGACAUCAUUUUUAAUUUUUUUAAAUCAAGGACAACAAUAAAAAAUAUUAAUUAUUUAUUAAUCAAACCAAUAUUUAUCUGAUACAGACAUAAGAAAAACUCUUUGAUUUACAUGCUCGGCUGUAAGCCGACUUCUGUUAUUGGGUACUGCGAGAUUUACAGCAGAUGCCACUCUCUAAAAAACCGAGGACGCAGGCGAUAUCAAAUACUUUAGAGCUAUGUCGGAAAGGACUGGAGUAAAAUGACGACAAUCAGACCAGAAUUUUGUAGGAUUCUCUUUUCUGGGUAUUAUAGGCUGAUCUAGAUAUUUUUUUAGUUCGCUAGGCAUACCAUCACUGGUUAAAAGUAAACUGGAGGUUGCUGCAGCAAUAUCUAUCAUAAUUUAUUCAUGUCCGGACCACAACGACGGCGAAGAAUUUUCUGAAUUUGGAAUUAUGGUAGUGGUUGUGGGUCUGAGUUCAGGCGAAAGUUGUCCUCUACGUCUACGUUCUAAACGUAUUUCUUUUGACAAUGCGGUUAUUGCAGUGGAAACAGCUAGUGCUGAAUUAAAAUAAAUACGCUUAAAGCGAGGGUCUAAAAUUGUUGCUAUAGCAAGAUGUAAAUGUCGCUCUAGUGGUUCUAGUUUGGCAAUAACUAAGUUUAGCAAACAGAGACAUUGACAGACAGAGUUACCAACUUAAAAGCCAACUUAAGUACCAAAUUAAAACGCAGUAAAUCGAGUCGACCAAAGACAAAAAAAAUGUAAUUUGUUAAAAAAUGUUACUAUAAAAAAAGUAUUCUUUUUUAGGAUUUUUUAAUUAUAAAAAAUAUCGAUUUUUAUACCUUUUCAAUACUUGUAAUUUUAUAUCGAUACCUCGAUACAUCGAAACAUUAAAUAUCGCUCAAAAAUAUCGAUACAUUGAAAAAAUAAUAUCGAUAUAUCGAUGUAUCGAUAUUUUUUCGACGAGCCUAUAGCAUAUUAAUAACCUGUGUAUUAGAAAUUUUAAUUUAACAAAACAAAACAAUAUUUUUAUUUUUCAGGUUUUAAAGAGAAUUUAGAAAUUGAGCAAAGUUUUACUAAAUUAUAGUGAUCUUAGGAGCAAAGUUUACUUCGUUUAUGUUAUUGUUAAUCAAAAAUAUAAAAGAAAACUACCUCUAUCUAAUUUUGUCGAUGUCCAUUUCUUAAGAAGUUUCUCAUUAAAACAACCCUUAACUCAGGCAAGGCAGGGCUAAGGUGGUUAGCGUAACUACAAGUGGUUAACUUACAGUUAGCCAACUGAAGAACAAUCAACAAUGCCCGAUUAAUAAGUGAUCGCGCUGCUUGUCUACUACAUGUCCCUGCACUAGUUAUAGCAGUAAUUUCUUUGUUGGGAAGUAUUUAGCACAUCCGGGCUGCGCAAAAGGAGAGGACUAAAUUGAUUAUUAUGAACAGACCAUUAUGAUGAACCACUGAUAUUGACUCAGAGACAUGAAGAUGAGUGCUUUGACAACAAGACUGACUAGCUGAGCCAGCUUAAGAAUUAUGUGGUGUGUGUGUGUCUAAUUCCAGGAGCUCUCUAUGUCAGCCAUCCAUCUAUAUUCUUACUCAUUUUUGUUAAUUAUAAAAUAAAUUUGAUUAUUUA
Bicyclus anynana (squinting bush brown) is the source of this 3500-nucleotide long non-coding RNA. RefSeq lists it as uncharacterized. NCBI's taxonomy places the organism in Eukaryota, Metazoa, Arthropoda, Insecta, Lepidoptera, Nymphalidae. The record is from RefSeq and is a predicted model, not a curated record. The transcript has 2 exons.